This 266-nucleotide long non-coding RNA is filed under the name Elaeis guineensis (African oil palm). Its description in RNAcentral is "long non-coding RNA (EGUI_LNC000555)". The record is from RNAcentral. Lineage: Eukaryota; Viridiplantae; Streptophyta; Magnoliopsida; Arecales; Arecaceae.
CUGUCCUAUAUGGUAAAAUGCUCUCGCUGAGGAGAUGUUGUAGCCCUCAUCUAUGGAUUGGUUCUCCUUUUGAUUUUGAUUCCAUUCAUAACCUUCUUUGAAAAGGUUAUCUUUGUCUUGAUUGGCCUGUGUGGCUUUGAUAUAAAACAUGUAUAGGUUCUCAGUUUUACUAUGAACUAUAAAUGAAUAAUGAUUAUAAUUCUUCAACGUUUCUAUUAUGGAUCUAGUCAUGUCAUGCAAAUCAUGAUUUAAAUCAUGCACUAAUC